RNAcentral lists this ribosomal RNA (460 nucleotides) under uncultured bacterium. RNAcentral's name for it is "partial 16S ribosomal RNA". It matches the Rfam family "Bacterial small subunit ribosomal RNA", at positions 338 to 795 of the family's 1533-position model. The record is from RNAcentral.
CCUACGGGUGGCAGCAGUGAGGAAUAUUGGUCAAUGGGCGCGAGCCUGAACCAGCCAAGUAGCGUGAAGGAUGACUGCCCUAUGGGUUGUAAACUUCUUUUAUAAAGGAAUAAAGUAGGGCACGCGUGCCUUUUUGUAUGUACUAUAUGAAUAAGGAUCGGCUAACUCCGUGCCAGCAGCCGCGGUAAUACGGAGGAUCCGAGCGUUAUCCGGAUUUAUUGGGUUUAAAGGGAGCGUAGGUGGGUUGUUAAGUCAGUUGUGAAAGUUUGCGGCUCAACCGUAAAAUUGCAGUUGAUACUGGCAGUCUUGAGUACAGUAGAGGUAGGCGGAAUGCGUGGUGUAGCGGUGAAAUGCUUAGAUAUCACGAAGAACUCCGAUUGCGAAGGCAGCUUACCGAAGCGCCACUGACGUUGAUGCUCGAAAGUGUGGGUAUCGAACAGGAUUAGAUACCCUUGUAGUC